This is a non-coding RNA of Musa acuminata subsp. malaccensis (wild Malaysian banana), 1671 nucleotides long. The record is from RefSeq and is a predicted model, not a curated record. Lineage: Eukaryota; Viridiplantae; Streptophyta; Magnoliopsida; Zingiberales; Musaceae.
UUCAAGAUUUCAAGGUGCAUAGAAUAGUCAAAUAAUUGAGAUAUAAUAAUCAUGCUAAUGUUAUUAAUUGGACUUGCAGCAGGGAUGAAGACAAUAUAUGCUAAGGCCAUGCCAGGUUUUGACAGCCAUCAAACAGCUGAUUUACCUAUGCCUUGUGGCACCACAAGCCACACUUGCUAGCAAAAAUCCGUCUGUAAGAUCUUCAAGGAGAGAAAAUAGACUCUAAAAAUUAGCUGGAUUCGAGCCUGGUCAGCUGGCAUUUUUAGUGCUGACAUAUCCGGUAGUUCAGGUUGUGUGUGUUGCUUGCAGGAGCUGCAUCAUGGAGUGGUGCAAUGAAAAGCCUGAAUGUCAUCUCUCCUGUACUCCCAUUACUCAUUCAAAUUUAGUUUGUAUAUAUCAUGCUGAUUCUGAACAUGAUAUAGUCAAAUCUCGAGUACUAUUGAAUUGGGGGAAUAUAAAUUUUGAUUUUGUAUGGCAAUGGAAUUGGAAGAAGAUAACAGUGGAGACCAAUCACCAGCUCUAAUCAAAUUGACAAGAUCGCGCCGUUUGAAGAAUGAACAUCUUCAUCAUAUACAUAAAAUAUGGAUCUAGUCACAUGUACCAUAAAAGAAUCAGUAUUUCAAACAUUACAAGACUCUUUGAUCAAAGGUAAUUUCCGCUCCCUUUUCAUAUAAGCUAUCUUGAUUUUUCCUGUAACAUUACCAUGACUUAUGUUUCAAAAAAACCGGUAUAGAUAAUUCUAAGCAUUUUAUUCAUUUUCUUUUAUUAUUUUUAUUUGCUUAAUAUAAAUAUGAGGACCGAUAGUAGACAUGCCCAAAUGAAGAGAUGGCUAAACAAGUAUCACUUUCUAACAUGUCCAUGAUUAAAAAAAAAAUGAUACUUGUUGUGUCAAUUGUUAUGUCAAUCAUUACUAGUUUUCUUUGGUUUGUAGCUCAACUCAGGUGCAACUAUCAUAGAAUCAUGAUUUGCUAAUGCAUCUAGAGAUUUAGUAUGAAGCAUUAUGCAUGAUGUAGGCAUAAUUUUUUUUUGUCUAGUAUUCCAUUUUAUUACAUUAAAAGUGUGAUAAUAAUAGAGGUCCACCAUGCUCUACAACAUCCUUUAUGUCAAAGGUCCCCUCCAUGUUUUAGGUGGUUUAAUGCCAACCAUUUAGAAAGCAUCACCUCUUAAAAUUCUCUUUUUCUUGCUUUAAUGAUUGAGCAUUUUCUUUUGCUGGGAGAAUUGGAAAAUGGAGAUAUUACAGCCAUGUUUUCUCUAACCAUUAAAACAACUCGGUUGAGAAAUAAUGUUCUGUACGACCCAUCAUUCGAGACUUCAAGAUAGUUGACCACAGAAAUGAAAGAUUAAAUUGACUUGGCACAAUUAUUACUCGAAGGAGAAAGGACUAAUCAUGUUGGUUCCCAGAUCAGAGUGCAUCAACAGGUAAGAGGACUUGUACUAGUUUAGAUGGUUAGCAUGGUCCACUUGAAAUAGUAUAAUAGUAUCUACAGGACUGGUUUAUGUACCAAUUCAAUAGUAUAAGACUGCAUCAAUUGCAUCACCUGAAGCAUUUACAAGAUUUCUUUUUUAGUUCUUCUGAGUUAUAGUGGAAGAAGAGUUGUAUAAGGUAUUCUCAGAAGGUGAAACAUGCAAAUUGAGCAUACACAACAAUAAGAACAUUUGUAUACUGACCUU